CCAAGGUAGAGGCAUGACCCUGAGCAGAUAAACAGGUGACAUUUAAUGCUCUGGUCUCCUCAUAACCCCAGAACCAACCUCUGGAGAAGAAAAAAAAAGAUUUCAUUAAAGAAAUUGACUGAAUUUCUUUUACUAUGCAUUUCGUUUUUUGCCGUGGAACACAAAAGAAAGUAUUUUAAAGAAUGUUGUUUUGUUUGGACUUUUUUGUAUGGGAACAAAGUUCAAAAUAUAUUCUUUUGCAUUCAACAGAACAAAGAAAAUCAUACACUGAAAGAACAUGAAGAAACAGCAUGGCUCACCAGCAAUAAACUCCUCAUACUCAAUGACUGGUAUGUUAGCCUGCAGGCUGGUUAUGCUGAAGAACUCCCCCCACGGGAUGCGAACCUGAUGUAUAUCAGGACUCUGCCAGUGAUACAGAUGACCCCAUGGAGGCAACACUAGCACCCAGUCACCAUUUUUUCUCAAUGUCUUCAGCAAAGAGGCCAUGCGAAUGUACACAUCUCGGCGAAGAUUAAAGCCCUCGGGUGGAUUUACAUCAUAUAGGAG
Cyprinus carpio carpio is the source of this 546-nucleotide long non-coding RNA. The record is from Ensembl. Lineage: Eukaryota; Metazoa; Chordata; Actinopteri; Cypriniformes; Cyprinidae.